Molecule: ribosomal RNA, 909 nt
Filed under: Syzygospora pallida
Lineage: Eukaryota; Fungi; Basidiomycota; Tremellomycetes; Tremellales; Syzygosporaceae
Description: partial 25S ribosomal RNA
Rfam family: Eukaryotic large subunit ribosomal RNA
Source: RNAcentral
NNNNNNNNNNGGAUUCCCCUAGUAACGGCGAGUGAAGCGGGAAGAGCUCAAAUUUGAAAUCUGGUGGUCUUUGAUCAUCCGAGUUGUAAUCUAUAGAAGUGUUUCCCGUGCUGGCUCAUGUCUAAGUGCCUUGGAACAGGCCAUCAUAGAGGGUGAGAAUCCCGUUCUUGACAUGACCACCCAGUGCUCUGUGAUACACUUUCGACGAGUCGAGUUGUUUGGGAAUGCAGCUCAAAAUGGGUGGUAAAUUCCAUCUAAAGCUAAAUAUUGGCAAGAGACCGAUAGCGAACAAGUACCGUGAGGGAAAGAUGAAAAGCACUUUGGAAAGAGAGUUAAACAGUAUGUGAAAUUGUUGAAAGGGAAACGAUUGAAGUCAGUCGUGUYCAUUGGACUCAACCGGUUCUGCCGGCUUACUUCCAUUGAACGGGGUCAACAUCAGUUCUGUCCGCUGGAUAAGGUUGGGAUGAAGGUAGCACCCUCGGGUGAACUUAUAGCAUCCCAUCGCAUACAGUGGUCGGGACUGAGGAACGCAGCUUGCCUUUAUGGCCGGGGUUUGCCCACGUACAAGCUUAGGAUGUUGACAUAAUGGCUUUAAACGACCCGUCUUGAAACACGGACCAAGGAGUCUAACAUAUGUGCGAGUAUUUGGGUGUCAAACCCGAGUGCGCAAUGAAAGUGAAUGUAGGAGGGAUCCGCAAGGAGCACCUUCGACCGAUCUGGAUCUUUAUCGAUGGAUUUGAGUAAGAGCAUAUAUGCUGGGACCCGAAAGAUGGUGAACUAUGCCUGAAUAGGGCGAAGCCAGAGGAAACUCUGGUGGAGGCUCGGAGCGAUUCUGACGUGCAAAUCGAUCGUCAAAUUUGGGUAUAGGGGCGAAACACUAAUCGAACCNNNNNNNNNNNNNNNNNNNNN